Molecule: ribosomal RNA, 469 nt
Filed under: uncultured bacterium
Lineage: Bacteria
Description: bacterial SSU rRNA
Rfam family: Bacterial small subunit ribosomal RNA
Source: RNAcentral
GAUGAACGCUAGCGGCAGGCUUAACACAUGCAAGUCGAGGGGCAUCAGCCGAUGUAGCAAUACAUUGGUGUUGGCGACCGGCGUAAGGGUGCGUAACGCGUGAGCAACAUGCCCGCAACAGGCGGAUAGACCGUGGAAACGCGGCGUAAACCGCCAUAGGACCAGUAGCAGCAUUGCAACAGGUUGAAAUCUUCGGAGGUUGCGGAUUGGCUCGCGUAACAUUAGCUAGAUGGAGAGGUAACGGCUCACCAUGGCUACGAUGUUUAGGGAACUGAGAGGUUGACCCCCCAACUGGAACUGAGACACGGUCCAGACUCCUACGGGAGCAGCAGUGAGGAAUAUUGGACAAUGGAUGGAAAUCUGAUCCAGCCAUGCCGCGUGCAGGAGAAGGUCCUAAGUGGAUUGUAAACUGCUUUUAGGGCGGAACAAUACGGUCCAGAGUCGACGAUGAGAGUACCGAAAAGAAUAG